Molecule: ribosomal RNA, 492 nt
Filed under: uncultured bacterium
Lineage: Bacteria
Description: partial 16S ribosomal RNA
Rfam family: Bacterial small subunit ribosomal RNA
Source: RNAcentral
AGUGAACGCUGGCGGUAGGCCUAACACAUGCAAGUCGAACGGCAGCACAGUAAGAGCUUGCUCUUACGGGUGGCGAGUGGCGGACGGGUGAGGAAUACAUCGGAAUCUACUUUUUCGUGGGGGAUAACGUAGGGAAACUUACGCUAAUACCGCAUACGACCUACGGGUGAAAGCAGGGGAUCUUCGGACCUUGCGCGAUUGAAUGAGCCGAUGUCGGAUUAGCUAGUUGGCGGGGUAAUGGCCCACCAAGGCGACGAUCCGUAGCUGGUCUGAGAGGAUGAUCAGCAACACUGGAACUGAGACACGGUCCAGACUCCUACGGGAGGCAGCAGUGGGGAAUAUUGGACAAUGGGCGCAAGCCUGAUCCAGCCAUACCGCGUGGGUGAAGGAGGCCUUCGGGUUGUAAAGCCCUUUUGUUGGGAAAGAAAAGCAGCAGGUUAAUACCCCGCUGUUCUGACGGUACCCAAAGAAUAAGCACCGGCUAACUUCGUG